Molecule: ribosomal RNA, 1403 nt
Filed under: Salmonella enterica subsp. enterica serovar Kentucky
Lineage: Bacteria; Pseudomonadati; Pseudomonadota; Gammaproteobacteria; Enterobacterales; Enterobacteriaceae
Description: partial 23S ribosomal RNA
Rfam family: Bacterial large subunit ribosomal RNA
Source: RNAcentral
UGUUUCGGCUAGGGGGCCAUCCCGGCUUACCAACCCGAUGCAAACUGCGAAUACCGGAGAAUGUUAUCACGGGAGACACACGGCGGGUGCUAACGUCCGUCGUGAAGAGGGAAACAACCCAGACCGCCAGCUAAGGUCCCAAAGUCAUGGUUAAGUGGGAAACGAUGUGGGAAGGCCCAGACAGCCAGGAUGUUGGCUUAGAAGCAGCCAUCAUUUAAAGAAAGCGUAAUAGCUCACUGGUCGAGUCGGCCUGCGCGGAAGAUGUAACGGGGCUAAACCAUGCACCGAAGCUGCGGCAGCGAACGUAUCACUUAAAGCGAUUCAGCGGGUUACGAUUGACGGAGCGAAGCGACGUCAAAGCGUAUACAAAGUCGAGUCGGUUUAAGGAUACGUUCGUUGGGUAGGGGAGCGUUCUGUAAGCCUGUGAAGGUGGCCUGUGAGGGUUGCUGGAGGUAUCAGAAGUGCGAAUGCUGACAUAAGUAACGAUAAAGCGGGUGAAAAGCCCGCUCGCCGGAAGACCAAGGGUUCCUGUCCAACGUUAAUCGGGGCAGGGUGAGUCGACCCCUAAGGCGAGGCCGAAAGGCGUAGUCGAUGGGAAACGGGUUAAUAUUCCCGUACUUGGUGUUACUGCGAAGGGGGGACGGAGAAGGCUAUGUUGGCCGGGCGACGGUUGUCCCGGUUUAAGCGUGUAGGCUGGUUUUCCAGGCAAAUCCGGAAAAUCAAGGCUGAGGCGUGACGACGAGGCACUACGGUGCUGAAGCAACAAAUGCCCUGCUUCCAGGAAAAGCCUCUAAGCAUCAGGUAACAUCAAAUCGUACCCCAAACCGACACAGGUGGUCAGGUAGAGAAUACCAAGGCGCUUGAGAGAACUCGGGUGAAGGAACUAGGCAAAAUGGUGCCGUAACUUCGGGAGAAGGCACGCUGACACGUAGGUGAAGUGAUUUACUCAUGGAGCUGAAGUCAGUCGAAGAUACCAGCUGGCUGCAACUGUUUAUUAAAAACACAGCACUGUGCAAACACGAAAGUGGACGUAUACGGUGUGACGCCUGCCCGGUGCCGGAAGGUUAAUUGAUGGGGUCAGCGCAAGCGAAGCUCCUGAUCGAAGCCCCGGUAAACGGCGGCCGUAACUAUAACGGUCCUAAGGUAGCGAAAUUCCUUGUCGGGUAAGUUCCGACCUGCACGAAUGGCGUAAUGAUGGCCAGGCUGUCUCCACCCGAGACUCAGUGAAAUUGAACUCGCUGUGAAGAUGCAGUGUACCCGCGGCAAGACGGAAAGACCCCGUGAACCUUUACUAUAGCUUGACACUGAACAUUGAGCCUUGAUGUGUAGGAUAGGUGGGAGGCUUUGAAGUGUGGACGCCAGUCUGCAUGGAGCCGACCUUGAAAUACCACCCUUUAAUGUUU